CAGCCGCCACGGGAAUACGAAGGGGGCUAGCGUUGUUCGGAUUUACUGGGCGUAAAGCGCACGUAGGCGGAUCGAUCAGUCAGGGGUGAAAUCCCAGAGCUCAACUCUGGAACUGCCUUUGAUACUGUCGAACUGGAGUAUGGAAGAGGUGAGUGGAAUUCCGAGUGUAGAGGUGAAAUUCGUAGAUAUUCGGAGGAACACCAGUGGCGAAGGCGGCUCACUGGUCCAUUACUGACGCUGAGGUGCGAAAGCGUGGGGAGCAAACAGGAUUAGAGACCCCCGUAGUCCCUGUCUCUUAUAC
This 301-nucleotide ribosomal RNA is filed under the name uncultured bacterium. Its description in RNAcentral is "partial 16S ribosomal RNA". It matches the Rfam family "Bacterial small subunit ribosomal RNA", at positions 509 to 807 of the family's 1533-position model. The record is from RNAcentral.